GAAAUGCGAUAAGUAAUGUGAAUUGCAGAAUUCAGUGAAUCAUCGAAUCUUUGAACGCACAUUGCGCCCGCUAGUAUUCUGGCGGGCAUGCCUGUUCGAGCGUCAUUUCAACCAUCAAGCUAUUGGGCCCAGGCUUGUGUUGGGGACCUGCGGCUGCCGCAGCCCCCUAAAAACAGUGGCGGUCUCGCUGUCAUACCGAGCGCAGUAGUGAAUUCUUCGUUCUGGUCGUGGCAGUGGGUGCUAGCCGUGAAACAUCCUUCUAAGGUUGACCUCGGAUCAGGUAGGAAUACCCGCUGAACUUAA
This 303-nucleotide unclassified non-coding RNA is filed under the name uncultured Chaetomiaceae. RNAcentral describes it as "sequence contains ITS1". The stretch from base 1 to 105 matches the Rfam family "5.8S ribosomal RNA", at positions 50 to 154 of the family's 154-position model. Lineage: Eukaryota; Fungi; Ascomycota; Sordariomycetes; Sordariales. The record is from RNAcentral.